This 247-nucleotide ribosomal RNA is filed under the name uncultured archaeon. RNAcentral's name for it is "partial 16S ribosomal RNA". It matches the Rfam family "Archaeal small subunit ribosomal RNA", at positions 691 to 937 of the family's 1478-position model. The record is from RNAcentral.
CCGACGGUGAGGGGUGAAAGCUGGGGGCACGAACCGGAUUAGAUACCCGGGUAGUCCCAGCCGUAAACGAUGCUCGCUAGGUGUCUGGGAUGGUGCGACCGUUUCAGGUGCCGCAGGGAAGCCGUGAAGCGAGCCACCUGGGAAGUACGGCCGCAAGGCUGAAACUUAAAGGAAUUGGCGGGGGAGCACUACAACGGGUGGAGCCUGCGGUUUAAUUGGACUCAACGCCGGAAAUCUCACCGGAUAA